AGUGAACGCUGGCGGUAGGCCUAACACAUGCAAGUCGAACGGCAGCACAGUAAGAGCUUGCUCUUACGGGUGGCGAGUGGCGGACGGGUGAGGAAUACAUCGGAAUCUACUUUUUCGUGGGGGAUAACGUAGGGAAACUUACGCUAAUACCGCAUACGACCUACGGGUGAAAGCAGGGGAUCUUCGGACCUUGCGCGAUUGAAUGAGCCGAUGUCGGAUUAGCUAGUUGGCGGGGUAAAGGCCCACCAAGGCGACGAUCCGUAGCUGGUCUGAGAGGAUGAUCAGCCACACUGGAACUGAGACACGGUCCAGACUCCGACGGGAGGCAGCAGUGGGGAAUAUUGGACAAUGGGCGCAAGCCUGAUCCAGCCAUACCGCGUGGGUGAAGAAGGCCUUCGGGUUGUAAAGCCCUUUUGUUGGGAAAGAAAAGCAGCAGGUUAAUACCCCGCUGUUCUGACGGGACCCAAAGAAUAAGCACCGGCUAACUUCGU
This 491-nucleotide ribosomal RNA is filed under the name uncultured bacterium. RNAcentral's name for it is "partial 16S ribosomal RNA". It matches the Rfam family "Bacterial small subunit ribosomal RNA", at positions 29 to 506 of the family's 1533-position model. The record is from RNAcentral.